CGUCGUCAACAGAAUUCAUUUGAUCAUCGAGUUCGUUUUCACCUUUAGCAUCGUCACGUAAUCAUGGUUCCGCAUCACUCGCAUUCUCGCACAGCACGCUCGAGAUUCCGUUGAAAAGAAAGAGACGCCAUCAUCGAAUUCGUUUCUUUUUAUCGUGGCCGAUAACGUACUCGCAUCUUGCACGCGACACGAACGACCGGUUACAUAAUGCAUACACAGGUGCGUACGAGAGAAAAUCACGAUUUUAUAUAAACGUUGUUUGCGUGCUGGUAAAACGCACCGAUCUCGUUGCAGUACACCGUCUCGCAAACUCUGUGCUCCCGUUUCCCAUGGUGGUCGCGAUCGAGCACCGAUUCCGUGUCGUUCACCGUGUCCUCCAGUAUCCUGAAGAUUUUGGUGACCGGCAACUGUAUUGGGAACGAGGUCGCGACUGUUAGGUGACAUCUACGGAGAAAAAGCCGGCAGAUUCAUAAAUAAUUCUUGGCGCGCGUGUGCCGCGGAUUCGAGUGUCAGAGUUCAGGAAAAUAGCGAAUCAUUGUCUAGCCUCGGCAGGCCUCGUUUUUUAAGUACGUUCGCGCUGUUUUAACGCGCAACGUGUCCGUGAUGUUACGGCUGAAACUUUCGGGGAAAAUGACACGAGUUCGUAUCGCUCGCGCUCGAACUUCUUGAAAUGUUGCCGACGCUAUAUCAAGCCACAGGAGCCGCAUGCUUGCCGGUGGAGCGAAAUCGUGGACUGAGGCACCCGAUCCGGCAACCAGUUGUCCAAAACUACCGAACGAACACGCCGGCUGUCCUUUUUCCAACGGACGAGUUCCGGCGCGCGCGUGUUUCUUUAUGAAAUUCGUCUCGACGGCGAAUUUAACGCGCGAGAUUAUUAAUUUGAUCGCGAACAAAUGCUUCGUGAACCGAACCGGCCGGAAUGGAGCGUACAGGGAGCGACGAUUGAUUCCUUGGAAGCCGCGCUCCUGACGUCCGGAUUCCGUGUAACACGAGCCAAUUUAUUCUCUCGUAGGAUCUGAUUUUUUACCUUGUCAUCUUCCAUGUAUGGACGCGGCAAUUUCCUAGCGGUUCUAAUAGUUUUCGGAAUUUACGGGGAUCACGUGGCGAUCAUUACAUCCGUAGACAAUGCUCGGCGAUGUUAUACAUUUUUCUGUAGUUUUCUUUGUAUUUCUCUGGCGGUGCGCUGCGAUUACGUGACACAGAGGAACAAUAUAUUUUAACUGCUUAACGAUGCGAAUCCUUUUUUAUGUAAUUCACAGGUCGAGCUAGUACGACUGAAAUGUUCGGCGAUUUAGAUUGUUGUUGUGUAAAAUGUGGACGAUUACUUUGAAAAGAUUACGUUCGAAUAUAGUAAAUGUUGAACUAUCUCUCUCUCUCUCUCUUCUUCGCUUUUAGCUAAAUUGCCUGAUUAUAUAUAUAUAUAAAGAGAUAAAUAUAUAUCUUAUAUACAUAUGCUUAAGUAAGAAAAAUGCUUAUUAGUAAACAAAUGGCUUGCGGAUUGUUAUGCAUGACAUAGAAGCUUUUUGCCUCUUUGAUUGCAAGAUGCGGGAAGUAGAUAAACCUUUAUCUCUUUUUUUUUAAUGAUUUUAACAAGCCAAAGUUGAUACAACAACGUCUUGAAAUUCUUCAAGUGUUUUUCACACAGUGUUUAAUUUCAUUUGCUCGUUCUUCUAUCAAAUCACGAUUGCUAAAUAUUUUGGGAAUCGUUGAUCAGAUACUAGAAAAAAUAACUUGAGUGUAUAAUAAAUUUUCUUUUUUUGAAUUUGCUUUUGCAUGUACAUUUCUAUACACACGUACGUAUAAUAUUUAGAUCGAUACGUGACUUAUGUUUGCUGUUCAAAGUGUACUCGAUAUUUAUUGAUUCUGCAUGAAUUAUCGAUAAAGUUAGGCGUGGUACUAAUAGCCGCUGGUUUUUAUCAACUUUUUAACGCACCGAUUACUCAUCGUCGCUUCUACGCCACCAAUAGAAUAUUAAAUAACAUUGUCGCCGAGGAAUUGAGAUUUUAAAUGAAUCUGAAACGUGCGUUCUUCUUACGUUCGUUUCUUUGUCGGAGAAUUCAAGGUUAACUAAUAACUAUGUCGUGGCGACGAUCAAUCGAGGCAAUUUAAUGAAAUAUAAGCGCAAUUUAUUAGUGUAAAUAAAGGUAUUAUGUCUACGGCGUAAUCUUCGCCUCCA
Non-coding RNA from Megalopta genalis, 2176 nucleotides. Lineage: Eukaryota; Metazoa; Arthropoda; Insecta; Hymenoptera; Halictidae. The record is from RefSeq and is a predicted model, not a curated record.